Molecule: ribosomal RNA, 896 nt
Filed under: Trichoderma aethiopicum
Lineage: Eukaryota; Fungi; Ascomycota; Sordariomycetes; Hypocreales; Hypocreaceae
Description: LSU rRNA
Rfam family: Eukaryotic large subunit ribosomal RNA
Source: RNAcentral
GCAUAUCAAUAAGCGGAGGAAAAGAAACCAACAGGGAUUGCCCCAGUAACGGCGAGUGAAGCGGCAACAGCUCAAAUUUGAAAUCUGGCCCUUACGGGUCCGAGUUGUAAUUUGUAGAGGAUGCUUUUGGCAAGGCGCCGCCCGAGUUCCCUGGAACGGGACGCCACAGAGGGUGAGAGCCCCGUCUGGCUGGCCGCCGAGCCUCUGUAAAGCUCCUUCGACGAGUCGAGUAGUUUGGGAAUGCUGCUCAAAAUGGGAGGUAUAUGUCUUCUAAAGCUAAAUAUUGGCCAGAGACCGAUAGCGCACAAGUAGAGUGAUCGAAAGAUGAAAAGCACCUUGAAAAGAGGGUUAAAUAGUACGUGAAAUUGUUGAAAGGGAAGCGCUUGUGACCAGACUUGGGCGCGGCGGAUCAUCCGGGGUUCUCCCCGGUGCACUUCGCCGCGUCCAGGCCAGCAUCAGUUCGUCGCGGGGGAAAAAGGCUUCGGGAACGUGGCUCCCUCGGGAGUGUUAUAGCCCGUUGCGUAAUACCCUGCGGUGGACUGAGGACCGCGCAUCUGCAAGGAUGCUGGCGUAAUGGUCACCAGCGACCCGUCUUGAAACACGGACCAAGGAGUCGUCUUCGUAUGCGAGUGUUCGGGUGUCAAACCCCUACGCGUAAUGAAAGUGAACGCAGGUGAGAGCUUCGGCGCAUCAUCGACCGAUCCUGAUGUUCUCGGAUGGAUUUGAGUAAGAGCAUACGGGGCCGGACCCGAAAGAAGGUGAACUAUGCCUGUAUAGGGUGAAGCCAGAGGAAACUCUGGUGGAGGCUCGCAGCGGUUCUGACGUGCAAAUCGAUCGUCAAAUAUGGGCAUGGGGGCGAAAGACUAAUCGAACCUUCUAGUAGCUGGUUUCCGCGA